RNAcentral lists this transfer RNA (91 nucleotides) under Lachnospiraceae bacterium. Its description in RNAcentral is "tRNA-Ser". It matches the Rfam family "tRNA". From Rfam's summary of the family: Transfer RNA (tRNA) molecules are approximately 80 nucleotides in length. Their secondary structure includes four short double-helical elements and three loops (D, anti-codon, and T loops). Lineage: Bacteria; Bacillati; Bacillota; Clostridia; Lachnospirales; Lachnospiraceae. The record is from RNAcentral.
GGAGACGUAGCGAAGUGGUCAUAACGCGGCGCACUCGAAAUGCGUUUAUCGGCUUAACACCGGUACAAGGGUUCGAAUCCCUUCGUCUCCG